GAUGAACGCUGGCGGCGUGCCUAAUACAUGCAAGUCGAGCGAACGGACGAGAAGCUUGCUUCUCUGAUGUUAGCGGCGGACGGGUGAGUAACACGUGGAUAACCUACCUAUAAGACUGGGAUAACUUCGGGAAACCGGAGCUAAUACCGGAUAAUAUUUUGAACCGCAUGGUUCAAAAGUGAAAGACGGUCUUGCUGUCACUUAUAGAUGGAUCCGCGCUGCAUUAGCUAGUUGGUAAGGUAACGGCCUACCAAGGCAACGAUGCAUAGCCGACCUGAGAGGGUGAUCGGCCACACUGGGACUGAGACACGGUCCAGACUCCUACGGGAGGCAGCAGUAGGGAAUCUUCCGCAAUGGGCGAAAGCCUGACGGAGCAACGCCGCGUGAGUGAUGAAGGUCUUCGGAUCGUAAAACUCUGUUAUUAGGGAAGAACAUAUGUGUAAGUAACUGUGCACAUCUUGACGGUACCUAAUCAGAAAGCCACGGCUAACUACGUG
This 497-nucleotide ribosomal RNA is filed under the name uncultured bacterium. Its description in RNAcentral is "partial 16S ribosomal RNA". It matches the Rfam family "Bacterial small subunit ribosomal RNA", at positions 28 to 507 of the family's 1533-position model. The record is from RNAcentral.